This 76-nucleotide transfer RNA is filed under the name Chlamydia trachomatis. RNAcentral's name for it is "tRNA-Arg(tct)". It matches the Rfam family "tRNA". Rfam says of the family: Transfer RNA (tRNA) molecules are approximately 80 nucleotides in length. Their secondary structure includes four short double-helical elements and three loops (D, anti-codon, and T loops). RNAcentral also lists the same sequence under 18 other names. Lineage: Bacteria; Pseudomonadati; Chlamydiota; Chlamydiia; Chlamydiales; Chlamydiaceae. The record is from RNAcentral.
GGUCGUGUAGCUCAGGGGAUAGAGUACGUGCCUUCUAAGCAUGUGGUCGCAGGUUCGAAUCCUGCCACGAUCGCCA